RNAcentral lists this ribosomal RNA (113 nucleotides) under Veillonella sp. RNAcentral describes it as "partial 16S ribosomal RNA". It matches the Rfam family "Bacterial small subunit ribosomal RNA", at positions 1 to 106 of the family's 1533-position model. Lineage: Bacteria; Bacillati; Bacillota; Negativicutes; Veillonellales; Veillonellaceae. The record is from RNAcentral.
AUCUUGGAGAGUUUGAUCCUGGCUCAGGACGAACGCUGGCGGCGUGCUUAACACAUGCAAGUCGAACGAAGAACGAUGGGAGCUUGCUCCUAUCAAUCUUAGUGGCGAACGGG